CAGCCGCCGCGGUAAUACGUAGGUCCCGAGCGUUGUCCGGAUUUAUUGGGCGUAAAGGGAGCGCAGGCGGUUUAGUAAGUCUGGAGUUAAAGGCAUUGGCUCAACCAAUGUAUGCUUUGGAAACUGUUUGACUUGAGUGCAGAAGGGGAGAGUGGAAUUCCACGUGUAGCGGUGAAAUGCGUAGAGAUGUGGAGGAACACCAGUGGCGAAGGCGACUCUCUGGUCUGUAACUGACGCUGAGGAGCGAAAGCGUGGGGAGCGAACAGGAUUAGAGACCCCGGUAGUCCCUGUCUCUUAUACA
This 301-nucleotide ribosomal RNA is filed under the name uncultured bacterium. Its description in RNAcentral is "partial 16S ribosomal RNA". It matches the Rfam family "Bacterial small subunit ribosomal RNA", at positions 509 to 808 of the family's 1533-position model. The record is from RNAcentral.